This 497-nucleotide ribosomal RNA is filed under the name uncultured bacterium. RNAcentral's name for it is "partial 16S ribosomal RNA". It matches the Rfam family "Bacterial small subunit ribosomal RNA", at positions 28 to 507 of the family's 1533-position model. The record is from RNAcentral.
GACGAACGCUGGCGGCGUGCCUAAUACAUGCAAGUUGAGCGCUGAAGGUUGGUACUUGUACCAACUGGAUGAGCAGCGAACGGGUGAGUAACGCGUGGGGAAUCUGCCUUUGAGCGGGGGACAACAUUUGGAAACGAAUGCUAAUACCGCAUAAAAACUUUAAACACAAGUUUUAAGUUUGAAAGAUGCAAUUGCAUCACUCAAAGAUGAUCCCGCGUUGUAUUAGCUAGUUGGUGAGGUAAAGGCUCACCAAGGCGAUGAUACAUAGCCGACCUGAGAGGGUGAUCGGCCACAUUGGGACUGAGACACGGCCCAAACUCCUACGGGAGGCAGCAGUAGGGAAUCUUCGGCAAUGGACGAAAGUCUGACCGAGCAACGCCGCGUGAGUGAAGAAGGUUUUCGGAUCGUAAAACUCUGUUGGUAGAGAAGAACGUUGGUGAGAGUGGAAAGCUCAUCAAGUGACGGUAACUACCCAGAAAGGGACGGCUAAUUACGUG